Molecule: long non-coding RNA, 433 nt
Organism: Nelumbo nucifera (sacred lotus)
Lineage: Eukaryota; Viridiplantae; Streptophyta; Magnoliopsida; Proteales; Nelumbonaceae
Source: RefSeq, a predicted model, not a curated record
AUGCAACUGGCAUGAUCGGGCAAUGCUAUUUGAGCAGUACCACUGGAAGAAAGCACUGAAGAAGAGGCAACCAUAUAAGUUCAAGUGGAACCAGUACAUGAACAAGGAUCUUCGGGAUUCAUACUAUUUCAACUGGCCAGUGUACUUUCCUUAGAACAUGUCCUAUAUGUGCCUAGGUGUGGUAGCUUUAUUAAUGCAGAUUCUGUUCUUUUCCUUUUUUUUCCAGUACAUAUGUUCAAAGGAGUGAAUCAUCCUAAAAAGGGAUUGUUUACCUUAUUCUGUGGUUUUAGAUCUUUAAAGCAGCAGGUUCUGUUGUAGGCUUGUAGCUAGUCUCCUUGUGUUGUGAUGCCUUUGGACGAAAUAAUUUUGUUGCCUCCAAUCAGCUGUCCUGUUGAAUGAAGUUUUUAGUAUGCCCUCCGGGCACUUAAGAGUA